AGAAGUGAGAAGCGAGGAUUAAG
Molecule: non-coding RNA, 23 nt
Filed under: Arabidopsis thaliana (thale cress)
Lineage: Eukaryota; Viridiplantae; Streptophyta; Magnoliopsida; Brassicales; Brassicaceae
Source: RNAcentral